RNAcentral lists this ribosomal RNA (255 nucleotides) under uncultured bacterium. RNAcentral describes it as "partial 16S ribosomal RNA". It matches the Rfam family "Bacterial small subunit ribosomal RNA", at positions 524 to 779 of the family's 1533-position model. The record is from RNAcentral.
UACGUAGGUGGCAAGCGUUGUCCGGAUUUAUUGGGUUUAAAGGGUGCGUAGGCGGCCUAUUAAGUCAGUGGUGAAAUAUCUCAGCUCAACUGAGAGUGUGCCAAUGAUACUGAUGGGCUUGAGUACAGAUGAGGUAGGCGGAAUUGACGGUGUAGCGGUGAAAUGCUUAGAUAUCGUCAAGAACACCUAUAGCGAAGGCAGCUUACUAGGCUGUAACUGACGCUGAGGCACGAAAGUGUGGGGAUACAAAGCAUG